Molecule: non-coding RNA, 155 nt
Filed under: Candidatus Gallispira edinburgensis
Lineage: Bacteria; Bacillati; Bacillota; Clostridia
Source: RNAcentral
CUGUAGGUCAGGAUAAUAGGGAAUCGUGUGAGAGUCACGAACAAUCCCGUUGCUGUGUAAGCGGAGCAUUUUUUCAAGCUGUAAGGCAGUCACUGUGAAAAUGGGAAGACGAAAAAAUGUGAUGAGGCUAAAGUCAGAAGACCUGCCUUUUUAUU